UUUCCGUAGGUGAACCUGCGGAAGGAUCAUUCAUAAUAAGUAUUUUUCUGCACUUUUUAAAAAUAGUACUCACCUUGUGUUCAAUGUUGUGUUUCUUUUCGGAGAAACACCUACACCAACCUAUAACCUUUAACCACUUUGUCUGAAAAACUAUUAUGCAUACUUAAUUCAAAAUACAACUUUCAACAACGGAUCUCUUGGCUCUC
Molecule: unclassified non-coding RNA, 206 nt
Filed under: plant metagenome
Description: partial contains small subunit ribosomal RNA, internal transcribed spacer 1, and 5.8S ribosomal RNA
Source: RNAcentral